UAGCUACCCCACAAAGCAUGUGAAAAAUUAUCUCCAAGAAAAGUUAGCAUCAAUUUGCUCAUUGCUUAAAGCAUCUUAAUAAUGAUGUAUUAACAAAGUCCACGAUGGUGGCUUUUGCUAAAAUGAAAGGAGGGUGGGUCGCUAACUAGCUAAUUGUGGAGGCUUGGAGCACAACCUGUCUCCCUCCCAUACACGACAAUGAGAUAUUGAAUUAUUUACAAUGUUAAUAAAGGAAAUUUUCUUUCUAAAUCACUAAACACACAA
RNAcentral lists this unclassified non-coding RNA (264 nucleotides) under Hevea brasiliensis (rubber tree). Lineage: Eukaryota; Viridiplantae; Streptophyta; Magnoliopsida; Malpighiales; Euphorbiaceae. The record is from RNAcentral.